CUCUGCUUUGGCAGUGCAUUACUGAAAUUAGAGCCAUUCGGAGAAGAUUAGCAUGGUCCCUGCACAAUGAUGAUAUGCAAAUUUGUGAAGCAGUCUAUGUUUUA
Heterocephalus glaber (naked mole-rat) is the source of this 104-nucleotide small nuclear RNA. NCBI's taxonomy places the organism in Eukaryota, Metazoa, Chordata, Mammalia, Rodentia, Bathyergidae. The record is from Ensembl.